GAAUCCCGUCUUUGACACGGACUGCCUGUACAUUAUGGUGUGCUCUCGAAGAGUCGAGUUGUUUGGGAAUGCAGCUCAAAAUGGGUGGUAAAUGCCAUCUAAAGCUAAAUAUUGGCGAGAGACCGAUAGCGAACAAGUACCGUGAGGGAAAGAUGAAAAGAACUUUGGAAAGAGAGUUAAACAGUACGUGAAAUUGCUGAAAGGGAAACGCUUGAAGUCAGUCGCGUUGGCUAGAAAUCAACCUUGCUUUUGCUUUGUGUACUUUCUGGUUGACGGGUCAGCAUCAAUUUUGACCACUGGAUAAAGUCUUUGGGAAUGUGGCAUCUUCGGAUGUGUUAUAGCCCAUUGUCGCAUACGGUGGUUGGGAUUGAGGAACUCAGCACGCCGCAAGGCCGGGUUUCGACCACGUUCGUGCUUAGGAUGCUGGCAUAAUGGCUUUAAUCGACCCGUCUUGAAACACGGACCAAGGAGUCUAACAUGCCUGCGAGUGUUUGGGUGGAAAAACCCAUGCGCGCAAUGAAAGUGAAAGUUGAGAUCCUCUUCAAAGGGGGAGCAUUGACGCCCGGACCAGACCUUUUGUGACGGAUCCGCGGUAGAGCAUGCAUGUUGGGACCCGAAAGAUGGUGAACUAUGCCUGAAUAGGGUGAAGCCAGAGGAAACUCUGGUGGAGGCUCGUAGCGAUUCUGACGCGCAAAUCGAUCGUCAAAUUUGGGUAUAGGGGCGAAAGACUAAUCGAACCAUCUAGUAGCUGGUUCCUGCC
RNAcentral lists this ribosomal RNA (760 nucleotides) under uncultured Inocybe. RNAcentral describes it as "partial 28S ribosomal RNA". It matches the Rfam family "Eukaryotic large subunit ribosomal RNA", at positions 216 to 962 of the family's 3401-position model. The record is from RNAcentral. Lineage: Eukaryota; Fungi; Basidiomycota; Agaricomycetes; Agaricales; Cortinariaceae.